Molecule: ribosomal RNA, 253 nt
Filed under: uncultured bacterium
Lineage: Bacteria
Description: partial 16S ribosomal RNA
Rfam family: Bacterial small subunit ribosomal RNA
Source: RNAcentral
UACGUAGGGUGCGAGCGUUAAUCGGAAUUACUGGGCGUAAAGGGUGCGCAGGCGGUUUGCUAAGACAGGCGUGAAAGCCCCGGGCUUAACCUGGGAGGUGCGCUUGUGACUGGCAGACUAGAGUGCGGCAGAGGGGGGUGGAAUUCCACGUGUAGCAGUGAAAUGCGUAGAGAUGUGGAGGAACACCGAUGGCGAAGGCAGCCCCCUGGGCUAGCACUGACGCUCAGGCACGAAAGCGUGGGGAGCAAACAGG